ACGGCCUUUGUCUAGUCGUGGUGCACUGGUUAGAACGAGAAAACCCCCAAUAAGCUGAAUGGAUCCACCGAGGUGGUUCGAUCCUGCGACGCAAGCACCGUAACCGACUGAGCUAAAUCCUGCCCCUAAUCGAGAGUAGAUACUAACUGCCAGCAAUGGUUUGGAUAAUAUGUCAAACGUUUUAUUGAGAUCUGCGAAUUAUACUUCCUCUUUUGACAACGUCGACACUUCUUCCUAUUCAUUUCCCACAAAUGUUCACCAGAUAAUGAUUUCCUGUUAGCAGCUAUCAAAAAUGUUCACCUAUGUAUGCCUACGUGGAGCCAGAUGGCAACCGAAUACGAGUAAAUAUAGGUAGCUUGUCAAGACCGAUGACUUAAAUGGAAAUGCCUGACCAAGACUGUUUCUCUGCAUAUAAAUAAAUCGUAUUAUACUAAGCUAUCAAUAUUAUAAUUUUUUACAAGGUCAACCCAGAAUAGGUUAUUGUUAGAUGCGUCUCCUACAAAUCACCGGAAAUUACUGCAGUAUGACUUUGCUUAAUAAUAAGGAUAGAUAAUGUGUCAGGUCCAAUAUAUAUAUAUAUAUAUAUAUAUAUCUAUAUAUAUAUAUGUAUAUAGCCACACAAACACACACAUAUAUAUAUAUACAUUUGUAUUAAAGUCAUUAACCAUACCCAACAUUAAGGUAUUGUUUAAUAUAAUUGGUUAUUAAAAUACCCUCUGCUCUUAA
Long non-coding RNA from Gigantopelta aegis, 726 nucleotides. RefSeq lists it as uncharacterized. NCBI's taxonomy places the organism in Eukaryota, Metazoa, Mollusca, Gastropoda, Neomphalida, Peltospiridae. The record is from RefSeq and is a predicted model, not a curated record. The transcript has 2 exons.